CAACUUUCAACAACGGAUCUCUUGGCUCUUACAUCGAUGAAGAACGCAGCGAAAUGCGAUAAGUAAUGUGAAUUGCAGAAUUCCGUGAAUCAUCAAAUCUUUGAACGCAAAUUGCACUCUUUGGUAUUCCGAAGAGUAUGCUUGCUUGAGGGUUGGA
Molecule: ribosomal RNA, 157 nt
Filed under: uncultured Acaulospora
Lineage: Eukaryota; Fungi; Glomeromycota; Glomeromycetes; Diversisporales; Acaulosporaceae
Description: 5.8S ribosomal RNA
Rfam family: 5.8S ribosomal RNA
About the family: 5.8S ribosomal RNA (5.8S rRNA) is a component of the large subunit of the eukaryotic ribosome. It is transcribed by RNA polymerase I as part of the 45S precursor that also contains 18S and 28S rRNA.
Source: RNAcentral